This 277-nucleotide small nuclear RNA is filed under the name Erinaceus europaeus (western European hedgehog). RNAcentral's name for it is "7SK RNA". It matches the Rfam family "7SK RNA". From Rfam's summary of the family: 7SK was discovered as an abundant small nuclear RNA in the mid-70s but a possible function has only recently been suggested. Lineage: Eukaryota; Metazoa; Chordata; Mammalia; Eulipotyphla; Erinaceidae. The record is from Rfam by way of RNAcentral.
GGAUGUGAGGGUGAUCUGGCUGCGAUAUCUGUUACCCCAUUGAUCACCAGGGUUGAUUCAGCUGAUCUGGCUGGCUAGGCGGGUGUCCCCUUCCUCCCUCACUGCUCCCGAAGCUAUGCGCUAGGUGGAAGAGGAUGGCCUUCCCUGAAUAGAGACAGACCGGUCUUCAGUGGAGAGUAUAGAGUAGCUGCGCUUCCCUGCUAGAACCUCCAAACUCUCAAGAGUGAAAAACAGGGAGUUGGGUGGUAGUGCAGCAGGUCUGCAGGUGUCUUUCUCU